RNAcentral lists this ribosomal RNA (531 nucleotides) under Triticum aestivum (bread wheat). RNAcentral describes it as "partial small subunit ribosomal RNA". The record is from RNAcentral. Lineage: Eukaryota; Viridiplantae; Streptophyta; Magnoliopsida; Poales; Poaceae.
AUGGCGAGCAGCACCGCUCUCUCCUGCCUGGCCGCGCUCCUGCUCCUCGCGGCUGCCGGGGCGCCGGUGUCCGCGGCGGAGAAGGAGACCCGGCUGCGGGUGUACUGGCACGACGUCGUGAGCGGCGGGCCGAACGCGAGGGUGGUGCAGGUGGCGCAGGCGCCGUCCUCCAACGCCUCCGCCACGGGCUUCGGCACCGUGCUCGUCAUCGACGACCCGCUCACCGAGGGGCCCAACCUGACGUCGAGGCUCCUCGGCCGCGCGCAAGGCAUGUACGUCAGCGCCGGCAAGGACAGCUUGUCGCUGCUCAUGGCCAUGAACUUCGUCUUCGUCGACGGCGCCUACAACGGGAGCAGCAUCGCCAUCAUCGGGCCCAACCAGGCGGACCGGGCCGUCAGGGAGAUGCCCGUCGUCGGCGGCACCGGCGUCUUCCGCUUCGCGCGCGGCUACUGCCAGUUGCGGACCCACUGGUUCGACGCCAAGACCGGCGAUGCCACCGUGGAGUACAAGAUCCAUCUCCGCCACGACUGA